CAGGCCAGCUCAACACGGCUGUAGCUGAAAAUCUAGGCAAUGCACUUUUUGUGUUGACACUAUGAUGACGCAUAUUACGAACUACAUUUUAAAAUAAGUGGAAUAUUUUUUUUUGCUUGUAUUUAGUGAUUAUUCAUAUUUAAACAUAUUUUAACGUAGCUUUAAUUAAGCACCAUAAUAUUAUCGAUUAGCUGAGUGCAGUGAACACGGCUGUUUCAUUUCAAUAUUAAAAUCUUAGCGGACGGAAUUAAGCUAACAAAAAAAUGGAAAUGAUUGAUAUAUCAAUAGAGGGUUCCACGACAACCUCUUAUCCGACUCCGUCAGAAGUUCCAGCCACAUAUAUCAACGUAGAUGAAAUAUUUUCCGAAGAAGAUAGCUUCCACGAACAAGUAUGAAUUUGUCAAUAU
Long non-coding RNA from Vanessa tameamea, 407 nucleotides. RefSeq lists it as uncharacterized. The record is from RefSeq and is a predicted model, not a curated record. The transcript is spliced from 3 exons. Lineage: Eukaryota; Metazoa; Arthropoda; Insecta; Lepidoptera; Nymphalidae.